UGGGGAAUAUUGCACAAUGGGCGCAAGCCUGAUGCAGCCAUGCCGCGUGUAUGAAGAAGGCCUUCGGGUUGUAAAGUACUUUCAGCGAGGAGGAAGGCGGUAAGGUUAAUAACCUUAUCGAUUGACGUUACUCGCAGAAGAAGCACCGGCUAACUCCGUGCCAGCAGCCGCGGUAAUACGGAGGGUGCAAGCGGUAAUCGGAAUUACUGGGCGUAAAGCGCACGCAGGCGGUCUGUCACGUCGGAUGUGAAAUCCCCGGGCUCAACCUGGGAACUGCAUUCGAAACUGGCAGGCUAGAGUCUUGUAGAGGGGGGUAGAAUUCCAGGUGUAGCGGUGAAAUGCGUAGAGAUCUGGAGGAAUACCGGUGGCGAAGGCGGCCCCCUGGACAAAGACUGACGCUCAGGUGCGAAAGCGUGGGGAGCAAACA
This 427-nucleotide ribosomal RNA is filed under the name uncultured bacterium. Its description in RNAcentral is "partial 16S ribosomal RNA". It matches the Rfam family "Bacterial small subunit ribosomal RNA", at positions 355 to 774 of the family's 1533-position model. The record is from RNAcentral.